AACGAACGCUGGCGGCAUGCCUAACACAUGCAAGUCGAACGCCUGUAGCAAUACAGGAGUGGCGCACGGGUGAGUAACGCGUGGGAACCUGCCCUGGAGUGGGGGAUAACCGAGAGAAAUUUCGGCUAAUACCGCAUACGUCCUGAGGGAGAAAGAUUUAUCGCUCUAGGAGGGGCCCGCGUCGGAUUAGCUAGUUGGUGGGGUAACGGCCUACCAAGGCAACGAUCCGUAGCNGGUCUGAGAGGAUGAUCAGCCACACUGGGACUGAGACACGGCCCAGACUCCUACGGGAGGCAGCAGUGGGGAAUAUUGGGCAAUGGGGGAAACCCUGAUCCAGCAAUGCCGCGUGAGUGAUGAAGGCCUUAGGGUUGUAAAGCUCUUUCGGCGGGGACGAUGAUGACGGUACCCGCAGAAGAAGCCCCGGCUAACUUCGUGCCA
This 438-nucleotide ribosomal RNA is filed under the name uncultured bacterium. RNAcentral's name for it is "bacterial SSU rRNA". It matches the Rfam family "Bacterial small subunit ribosomal RNA", at positions 29 to 510 of the family's 1533-position model. The record is from RNAcentral.